RNAcentral lists this ribosomal RNA (401 nucleotides) under uncultured bacterium. RNAcentral describes it as "bacterial SSU rRNA". It matches the Rfam family "Bacterial small subunit ribosomal RNA", at positions 356 to 773 of the family's 1533-position model. The record is from RNAcentral.
AGGGAAUCUUGCGCAAUGGGCGAAAGCCUGACGCAGCAACGCCGCGUGCGGGAUGACGGCCUUCGGGUUGUAAACCGCUUUCAGCAGGGACGAAAAUGACGGUACCUGCAGAAGAAGCCCCGGCCAACUACGUGCCAGCAGCCGCGGUAACACGUAGGGGGCGAGCGUUGUCCGGAUUUAUUGGGCGUAAAGAGCUCGUAGGCGGUUUCGUAAGUCGGGUGUGAAAGCUUCAGGCUCAACCUGGAGAAGCCACUCGGUACUGCGAUGACUAGAGUCCGGUAGGGGAGCGUGGAAUUCCUGGUGUAGCGGUGAAAUGCGCAGAUAUCAGGAGGAACACCAACGGCGAAGGCAGCGCUCUGGGCCGGAACUGACGCUGAGGAGCGAAAGCGUGGGUAGCGAAC